GCCGCGUCGUUGCGCGGCACCCGGGUCACCUCGCGGCGGCGGCGCCGCGUUCGGCGGCGUGGCAUCACCGGUUCCAGGUACCGGGGAGGCGGCGC
Molecule: transfer RNA, 95 nt
Filed under: Streptomyces sp. ADI98-10
Lineage: Bacteria; Bacillati; Actinomycetota; Actinomycetes; Kitasatosporales; Streptomycetaceae
Description: tRNA-Arg
Source: RNAcentral